RNAcentral lists this transfer RNA (91 nucleotides) under Armatimonadota bacterium. RNAcentral's name for it is "tRNA-Ser". It matches the Rfam family "tRNA". Rfam says of the family: Transfer RNA (tRNA) molecules are approximately 80 nucleotides in length. Their secondary structure includes four short double-helical elements and three loops (D, anti-codon, and T loops). The record is from RNAcentral. Lineage: Bacteria; Bacillati; Armatimonadota.
GGAGAGAUGCCUGAGCGGUUUAAGGGGGCGGUCUCGAAAACCGUUGUGGCGCUAGCCGUCACCGUGGGUUCGAAUCCCACUCUCUCCGCCA